GGCGGCGCGCCUAAUACAUGCAAGUAGAACGCUGAAGAGAAGAGCUUGCUCUUCUUGGAUGAGUUGCGAACGGGUGAGUAACGCGUAGGUAACCUGCCUGGUAGCGGGGGAUAACUAUUGGAAACGAUAGCUAAUACCGCAUAAAAUUGAUUAUUGCAUGAUAAUUAAUUGAAAGAUGCAAUCGCAUCACUACCAGAUGGACCUGCGUUGUAUUAGCUAGUUGGUGAGGUAACGGCUCACCAAGGCGACGAUACAUAGCCGACCUGAGAGGGUGAUCGGCCACACUGGGACUGAGACACGGCCCAGACUCCUACGGGAGGCAGCAGUAGGGAAUCUUCGGCAAUGGGGGGAACCCUGACCGAGCAACGCCGCAUGAGUGAAGAAGGUUUUCGGAUCGUAAAGCUCUGUUGUAAGAGAAGAACGGGUGUGAGAGUGGAAAGUUCACACUGUGACGGAU
This 457-nucleotide ribosomal RNA is filed under the name Streptococcus sanguinis. RNAcentral's name for it is "bacterial SSU rRNA". It matches the Rfam family "Bacterial small subunit ribosomal RNA", at positions 38 to 477 of the family's 1533-position model. The record is from RNAcentral. Lineage: Bacteria; Bacillati; Bacillota; Bacilli; Lactobacillales; Streptococcaceae.